GAUGAACGCUGGCGGCGUGCCUAAUACAUGCAAGUCGAGCGAACGGACGAGAAACUUGCUUCUCUGAUGUUAGCGGCGGACGGGUGAGUAACACGUGGAUAACCUACCUAUAAGACUGGGAUAACUUCGGGAACCCGGAGCUAAUACCGGCUAAUAUUUUGAACCGCAUGGUUCAAAAGUGAAAGACGGUCUUGCUGUCACUUAUAGAUGGAUCCGCGCUGCAUUAGCUAGUUGGUAAGGUAACGGCUUACCAAGGCAACGAUGCAUAGCCGACCUGAGAGGGUGAUCGGCCACACUGGAACUGAGACACGGUCCAGACUCCUACGGGAGGCAGCAGUAGGGAAUCUUCCGCAAAGGGCGAAAGCCUGACGGAGCAACGCCGCGUGAGUGAUGAAGGUCUUCGGAUCGUAAAACUCUGUUAUUAGGGAAGAACAUAUGUGUAAGUAACUGUGCACAUAUUGACGGUACCGAAUCAGAAAGCCACGGCUAACUACGUG
This 497-nucleotide ribosomal RNA is filed under the name uncultured bacterium. RNAcentral's name for it is "partial 16S ribosomal RNA". It matches the Rfam family "Bacterial small subunit ribosomal RNA", at positions 28 to 507 of the family's 1533-position model. The record is from RNAcentral.